GGUUUUUUGAAUAUAAUUUAAAAUCAGGCCUGCCCACUGAAAUUAUUAAAUGGCCGCGGUAUAUUGACCGUGCAAAGGUAGCAUAAUCAUUAGUUUUUUAAUUGAAAGCUGGAAUGAAUGGUUUAAUGAAAAAAUAACUGUCUCAAUUUAAUUUUAUUAAAACUUUAUAUUUAAGUUAAAAAGCUUAAAUUAUUUUAAAAGACGAGAAGACCCUAUAGAGUUUUAUAUUAAUAAAUUUAAGAGAUUAGGUUUUAGGUAUUUUAAUUUUAUUUAAUAUUUAAUUGGGGUGAUUAAAAAAUUUAUUUAACUUUUUUUUAUUUAUUACAUUUAUUAGUGAGUAUUUGAUCCAAAUUUUUUGAUUAUAAGAUUAAAUUACCUUAGGGAUAACAGCGUAAUUUUUUUUAAGAGUUCUUAUCGAAAAAAAAGAUUGCGACCUCGAUGUUGGAUUAAAAUUAAUUUUAGGUGUAGAAGCUUAAAAAUUAGGUCUGUUCGACCUUUAAAAUUUUACA
Molecule: ribosomal RNA, 509 nt
Filed under: Dastarcus decorus
Lineage: Eukaryota; Metazoa; Arthropoda; Insecta; Coleoptera; Bothrideridae
Description: partial 16S ribosomal RNA
Rfam family: Bacterial large subunit ribosomal RNA (bases 383-509)
Source: RNAcentral